GGGGGAUAAAUUAAUAAAGUAUAAAUAAUAAAAAAAUUUUUAAUAUUAAAAUAACUUAAUGGGGGUUAAAGUAUUUUUAAUAGAAAAAAUAAUAAAAAAUUUAUAGAAAAUUAGUAUUGUAAAAGAAAUUUGAAAUAUAAUGAAAAUAAAUUUAUGUUAAAGUAAAUUUAAUUUAUUGUACCUUGUGUAUCAGGGUUUAUUAAUAAUAUUUUUUAUUUAAAAAUUUUCUCGAAUUUAAAAGAGAUAAUUAGUUAUUAAAGUUAAUGUUGUAUAAUUAUUUUAAAUAAUUAAUUUGAAAUGAAAUGUUAAUCGUUUUUAAAUAUAUCUAGUUUUUUUAGAAAAAAAUUUAAUUUUAAAUUUUAGAAAAUAUAAUUUUAAUUAAUUAAAAUUAUAUUUUUAAAAUUAAGUAUUUUAAGGGAUAAGCUUUAAAAUAAAUUUUUAUAAUAAAUUUAAUAUUAAUAAUUAAAAUUUUUAAGAUUUAUAUUGUUUAUAAAUUAUAAUUUUUUAUAAAUAAUUUUAAUUAAUUUAAAAUUUAAAAUUUAUUUAAUUUUUUAUUAAAAAAUAUUUUUUAAUAAUUUAAAUUUAGGUAUAAUGAUAAAAUUAGUAUAUAAUUAAAUAAAAAUAAUUUAUUAUUUGAUAAUUUAAUAAAAGGAAUUCGGCAAAAACUUAUAUUCACUUGUUUAUCAAAAACAUGUCUUUUUGAAUUAAUAAUUUAAAGUUUAAUUUGCCCCCUGAUAAUAUAUUAAAGGGCUGCAGUAUUUUGACUGUACAAAGGUAGCAUAAUCAUUAGUCUUUUAAUUGGUGACUUGUAUGAAAGAUUUAAUGAGAUAUAUACUGUUUCUUUUUAAUUUGUAGAAUUUAAUUUUUUAGUUAAAAAGCUAAAAUUUAUUUAAAAGACGAGAAGACCCUAUAGAGUUUUAUAUUUAAAUUAUAUUAAAAUUUUUUGUAAAAUUUAUUAUUUUAAUAUAUAUGUAAAUAUUUUGUUGGGGUGAUAAAAAAAUUAAAAUAACUUUUUUUAUAAUUUUACAUUAAUAAAUGAAUAAAUGAUCCGUAAUUUACGAUUAUAAGAAAAAAUUACCUUAGGGAUAACAGCGUAAUUUUUUUUUUUAGUUCUAAUAAGAAAAAGAGUUUGCGACCUCGAUGUUGGAUUAAGAUAAAAUUUAAAUGCAAAAGUUUAAAAUUUUUGAUCUGUUCGAUCAUUAAAAUCUUCCCUGAUUGGAGUUCAAACCCGGGUUAGCCAGGGUGGUUUCUAUCCUUUAAAUUGAUAAAAUAUUUUAGUACGAAAGGAUUAAAUAUUUAAAAUAAUUUUAUAUGUUAAGAAUUUUAAUAAUAAUAAUAAUCAAUUUAAAUGUA
RNAcentral lists this ribosomal RNA (1353 nucleotides) under Parnassius nomion. Its description in RNAcentral is "16S ribosomal RNA". Lineage: Eukaryota; Metazoa; Arthropoda; Insecta; Lepidoptera; Papilionidae. The record is from RNAcentral.